CUACUGUGCGCCAGACUGAGUCUAAAACCUACGCUAUUGCAAAUUUCUAUAACAUAAACUUCUAGUACUUUAAAUUUCAAUAUACCAGCUGUAGAGACACUCACUCUUGCUUGACCAUGUCUAGUAAUAUGGAGGCAAUUCUCUUUUGAGGUUGCCUAUUCUCCUUUAAAAUAUUAAUGCUAUGGUUCCUGAUACACACAAGAAGAAUUAAGCUGAUUUCUUUUUUAUAUAGCAAAGCUCUAGAUAUCUGAAUGUAGCCAUAAUUAUCCCACCCUAUUCAGUUUAUCCAACUAAUGGGUUCUCGUCUUCAAGCUUCAUUUAUCCUACAUCUGCCAACAUAACUCAUAGAAUAUUAUUAAUUAGCCAGUCAAUCCCCCGGA
Molecule: long non-coding RNA, 380 nt
Filed under: Homo sapiens (human)
Lineage: Eukaryota; Metazoa; Chordata; Mammalia; Primates; Hominidae
Description: HSALNT0142808
Source: RNAcentral